Molecule: non-coding RNA, 25 nt
Filed under: Rattus norvegicus (Norway rat)
Lineage: Eukaryota; Metazoa; Chordata; Mammalia; Rodentia; Muridae
Source: RNAcentral
UAGUUUAGGAUGGCCUCGGAUUAUA